AGGAUAAACGCUGGCGGCGUGCCUAACACAUGCAAGUCGAACGUCUCUUCUUUCGGGAAGAGGAGUGGCGGACGGGUGAGGAACACGUGGGAACCUGCCCUUUAGUGAGGAAUACCGGCGAGAAAUCGCCGACAAGACCGCAUAGCCCUCUUUGAUGAGAGUCAAAGAAGGAAAGCUUCGCAAGAGGCGCUAGAGGAGGGGCCUGCGUCCGAUUAGCUAGUUGGUGGGGUAAGAGCCUACCAAGGCGUCGAUCGGUAGCUGGUCUGAGAGGACGAUCAGCCACACUGGGAUUGAGAACGGCCCAGACUCCUACGGGGGCAGCAGUGAGGAAUUUUCGGCAAUGGGGGAAACCCUGACCGAGCAACGCCGCGUGCAGGAAGACGGCCUUCGGUUGUAAACUGCUUUCUUUGGGACGAGGAAGGACGGUACCAGAGGAAUCAGCCCCGGCUCACUACGUGCCAGCAGCCGC
RNAcentral lists this ribosomal RNA (469 nucleotides) under uncultured bacterium. RNAcentral describes it as "SSU rRNA". It matches the Rfam family "Bacterial small subunit ribosomal RNA", at positions 26 to 518 of the family's 1533-position model. The record is from RNAcentral.